This 273-nucleotide ribosomal RNA is filed under the name uncultured bacterium. Its description in RNAcentral is "partial 16S ribosomal RNA". It matches the Rfam family "Bacterial small subunit ribosomal RNA", at positions 524 to 796 of the family's 1533-position model. The record is from RNAcentral.
GACGAACCGUGCGAACGUUGUUCGGAAUCACUGGGCUUAAAGGGCGCGUAGGCGGGCUCGCCGGUCCGGGGUGAAAGCCCCCAGCUCAACUGGGGAAGCGCCUUGGAUACCGCGGGCCUGGAGGGAGGUAGGGGCGUGCGGAACUUCCGGUGGAGCGGUGAAAUGCGUAGAUAUCGGAAGGAACACCGGUGGCGAAAGCGGCGCGCUGGACCUCUUCUGACGCUGAGGCGCGAAAGCCAGGGGAGCAAACGGGAUUAGAAACCCCCGUAGUCC